AUAAGCCUGGGAAACUGGGUCUAAUACCGGAUAGGACGAUGGUUUGGUAUGCAUUGUGGAAAGUUUUUCGGUGUGGGAUGAGCUCGCGGCCUAUCAGCUUGUUGGUGGGGUAAUGGCCUACCAAGGCGUCGACGGGUAGCCGGCCUGAGAGGGUGUACGGCCACAUUGGGACUGAGAUACGACCCAG
Molecule: ribosomal RNA, 187 nt
Filed under: uncultured Actinomycetales bacterium
Lineage: Bacteria; Bacillati; Actinomycetota; Actinomycetes; Actinomycetales
Description: partial 16S ribosomal RNA
Rfam family: Bacterial small subunit ribosomal RNA
Source: RNAcentral